Molecule: transfer RNA, 85 nt
Filed under: Felis catus (domestic cat)
Lineage: Eukaryota; Metazoa; Chordata; Mammalia; Carnivora; Felidae
Also listed under: 4 other names
Rfam family: tRNA
About the family: Transfer RNA (tRNA) molecules are approximately 80 nucleotides in length.
Source: Rfam by way of RNAcentral
GCCUGGGUGGCUCAGUCAGUUAAGUGUCUGACUUCAGCUCAGGUCAUGAUCUCAUGGUUCAUGGGUUCGAGCCCCGUAUCGGGCU